RNAcentral lists this unclassified non-coding RNA (376 nucleotides) under soil metagenome. Its description in RNAcentral is "partial contains 5.8S ribosomal RNA, internal transcribed spacer 2, and large subunit ribosomal RNA". The stretch from base 1 to 120 matches the Rfam family "5.8S ribosomal RNA", at positions 35 to 154 of the family's 154-position model. The record is from RNAcentral.
GAUGAAGAACGCAGCGAAAUGCGAUAAGUAAUGUGAAUUGCAGAAUUCAGUGAAUCAUCGAAUCUUUGAACGCAUCUUGCGCUCCUUGGAAUUCUGAGGAGCAUGCCUGUUUGUGUGUCAUUAAAUUCUCAACUACACUGACUUUGAAUUGGUGUGGCUUGGAUUUGGGGGGAAAAUUGUUGUGGGCUUUUUGUAUAGUCUGCUCCCCUGAAAUUGAUUAGCGGUACCUUUGUGGAACUGUCUACAGGUGUGAUAAUUAUCUACAUCUUAGACAUCUGCUGGAAUGCUGCUUUCUAAACCUUACUUGUAUUGACAAUCUUGACCUCAAAUCAGGUAGGACUACCCGCUGAACUUAAGCAUAUCAAUAAGCGGAGGA